This 373-nucleotide ribosomal RNA is filed under the name uncultured organism. Its description in RNAcentral is "partial 16S ribosomal RNA". It matches the Rfam family "Bacterial small subunit ribosomal RNA", at positions 527 to 896 of the family's 1533-position model. The record is from RNAcentral.
GGGGGGGGCAAGCGUUGUUCGGAAUUACUGGGCGUAAAGGGCUCGUAGGCGGCCAACUAAGUCGGACGUGAAAUCCCUCGGGCUCAACUGAGGAACUGCGUCCGAUACUGGAUGGCUUGAGUCCCGGGAGAGGGAUGCGGAAUUCCAGGUGUAGCGGUGAAAUGCGUAGAUAUCUGGAGGAACACCGGUGGCGAAGGCGGCAUCCUGGACCGGCACUGACGCUGAGGAGCGAAAGCCAGGGGAGCAAACGGGAUUAGAUACCCCGGUAGUCCUGGCCCUAAACGAUGAAUGCUUGGUGUGGCGGGUAUCGAUCCCUGCCGUGCCGAAGCUAACGCGAUAAGCAUUCCGCCUGGGGAGUACGGUCGCAAGGCUG